GGGGAAUCUUGCGCAACGGACGAAAGUCUGACGCAGCGACGCCGCGUGAGUGAUGAAGGCCUUCGGGUUGUAAAGCUCUGUGGGGAGAGACGAAUAAGGUGCAGUUAAUAUCUGCAUCGAUGACGGUACCUCCUUAGCAAGCACCGGCUAACUCUGUGCCAGCAGCCGCGGUAAGACAGAGGGUGCAAACGUUGUUCGGAAUCACUGGGCGUAAAGCGUGUGUAGGCUGUCAGAUAAGUCGGAUGUGAAAGCCCCGGGCUCAACCUGGGAAGUGCAUUCGAUACUGUUUGACUUGAGUACUGGAGAGGUUGGUGGAAUUCUCGGUGUAGAGGUGAAAUUCGUAGAUAUCGGGAAGAACAGCUGUGGCGAAGGCGGCCAACUGGACAGAUACUGACGCUGAGACACGAAAGCGUGGGGAGCAAAC
This 424-nucleotide ribosomal RNA is filed under the name uncultured bacterium. RNAcentral's name for it is "bacterial SSU rRNA". It matches the Rfam family "Bacterial small subunit ribosomal RNA", at positions 356 to 773 of the family's 1533-position model. The record is from RNAcentral.